Molecule: unclassified non-coding RNA, 391 nt
Filed under: soil metagenome
Description: partial contains 5.8S ribosomal RNA, internal transcribed spacer 2, and large subunit ribosomal RNA
Rfam family: 5.8S ribosomal RNA (bases 1-122)
Source: RNAcentral
GAUGAAGAACGCAGCGAAAUGCGAUACUUGGUGUGAAUUGCAGAAUCCCGUGAACCAUCGAGUCUUUGAACGCAAGUUGCGCCCGAAGCCAUUAGGCCGAGGGCACGCCUGCCUGGGCGUCACACGUCGUUGCCCCCCCGUCUACUCCUUCGGGAUUGCGGGGGGCGGAUGAUGGCCUCCCGUGCGCCUCGCCGCGCGGUUGGCAUAAAUGCCAAGUCCUCGGCGACGCACGCCACGACAAUCGGGGGUUGCGAAACCUCGGUUGCCCGUCGUGUGCGGUCGUCGCGCAUCGAGGGCUCGAAAAAAUUGCCGGGUUCCGGCUCGGCUUUCAACGCGACCCCAGGUCAGGCGGGGUUACCCGCUGAAUUUAAGCAUAUCAAUAAGCGGAGGA